UGGGGAAUUUUGGACAAUGGGCGAAAGCCUGAUCCAGCAAUGCCGCGUGUGUGAAGAAGGCCUUCGGGUUGUAAAGCACUUUUGUCCGGAAAGAAAUCCUUGGCUCUAAUACAGUCGGGGGAUGACGGUACCGGAAGAAUAAGCACCGGCUAACUACGUGCCAGCAGCCGCGGUAAUACGUAGGGUGCAAGCGUUAAUCGGAAUUACUGGGCGUAAAGCGUGCGCAGGCGGUUUGCUAAGACCGAUGUGAAAUCCCCGGGCUCAACCUGGGAACUGCAUUGGUGACUGGCAGGCUAGAGUAUGGCAGAGGGGGGUAGAAUUCCACGUGUAGCAGUGAAAUGCGUAGAGAUGUGGAGGAAUACCGAUGGCGAAGGCAGCCCCCUGGGCCAAUACUGACGCUCAUGCACGAAAGCGUGGGGGAGCAAACAGGAUUAGAUACCCUGGUAGUCCACGCCCUAAACGAUGUCAACUAGUUGUUGGGGAUUCAUUUCCUUAGUAACGUAGCUAACGCGUGAAGUUGACCGCCUGGGGGAGUACGGUCGCAAGAUUAAAACUCAAAUGAAUUGACGGGGUCAUAGCUGUUUCCU
RNAcentral lists this ribosomal RNA (587 nucleotides) under uncultured bacterium. Its description in RNAcentral is "partial 16S ribosomal RNA". It matches the Rfam family "Bacterial small subunit ribosomal RNA", at positions 355 to 1375 of the family's 1533-position model. The record is from RNAcentral.